This 1000-nucleotide ribosomal RNA is filed under the name Lacticaseibacillus rhamnosus. RNAcentral's name for it is "bacterial SSU rRNA". It matches the Rfam family "Bacterial small subunit ribosomal RNA", at positions 10 to 973 of the family's 1533-position model. The record is from RNAcentral. Lineage: Bacteria; Bacillati; Bacillota; Bacilli; Lactobacillales; Lactobacillaceae.
AGUUUGAUCCUGGCUCAGGAUGAACGCUGGCGGCGUGCCUAAUACAUGCAAGUCGAACGAGUUUUGGUCGAUGAACGGUGCUUGCAUCGUGAUUCAACUUAAAACGAGUGGCGGACGGGUGAGUAACACGUGGGUAACCUGCCCUUAAGUGGGGGAUAACAUUUGGAAACAGAUGCUAAUACCGCAUAAAUCCAAGAACCGCAUGGUUCUUGGCUGAAAGAUGGCGUAAGCUAUCGCUUUUGGAUGGACCCGCGGCGUAUUAGCUAGUUGGUGAGGUAACGGCUCACCAAGGCCAUGAUACGUAGCCGAACUGAGAGGUUGAUCGGCCACAUUGGGACUGAGACACGGCCCAAACUCCUACGGGAGGCAGCAGUAGGGAAUCUUCCACAAUGGACGCAAGUCUGAUGGAGCAACGCCGCGUGAGUGAAGAAGGCUUUCGGGUCGUAAAACUCUGUUGUUGGAGAAGAAUGGUCGGCAGAGUAACUGUUGUCGGCGUGACGGUAUCCAACCAGAAAGCCACGGCUAACUACGUGCCAGCAGCCGCGGUAAUACGUAGGUGGCAAGCGUUAUCCGGAUUUAUUGGGCGUAAAGCGAGCGCAGGCGGUUUUUUAAGUCUGAUGUGAAAGCCCUCGGCUUAACCGAGGAAGCGCAUCGGAAACUGGGAAACUUGAGUGCAGAAGAGGACAGUGGAACUCCAUGUGUAGCGGUGAAAUGCGUAGAUAUAUGGAAGAACACCAGUGGCGAAGGCGGCUGUCUGGUCUGUAACUGACGCUGAGGCUCGAAAGCAUGGGUAGCGAACAGGAUUAGAUACCCUGGUAGUCCAUGCCGUAAACGAUGAAUGCUAGGUGUUGGAGGGUUUCCGCCCUUCAGUGCCGCAGCUAACGCAUUAAGCAUUCCGCCUGGGGAGUACGACCGCAAGGUUGAAACUCAAAGGAAUUGACGGGGGCCCGCACAAGCGGUGGAGCAUGUGGUUUAAUUCGAAGCAACGCGAAGAACCUUA